Molecule: ribosomal RNA, 237 nt
Filed under: uncultured bacterium
Lineage: Bacteria
Description: partial 16S ribosomal RNA
Rfam family: Bacterial small subunit ribosomal RNA
Source: RNAcentral
UUCCUACGGGAGGCAGCAGUGGGGAAUAUUGCACAAUGGGCGCAAGCCUGAUGCAGCGACGCCGCGUGAGGGAUGACGGCCUUCGGGUUGUAAACCUCUUUCAGUAGGGAAGAAGCGAAAGUGACGGUACCUGCAGAAGAAGCGCCGGCUAACUACGUGCCAGCAGCCGCGGUAAUACGUAGGGCGCAAGCGUUAUCCGGAAUUAUUGGGCGUAAAGAGCUCGUAGGCGGUUUGUCG